CAGUUAACCAGCCCAGUUUAAUGCUCCAGCCCAGUUAACCAGCCCAGUUUAAUCCUCCAGCCCAGUUAACCAGCCCAGUUUAAUCCUCCAGCCCAGUUAGCCAGCCCAGUUUAACCCCCUGUGCCUCGGCUGUCCCUGCUGGGAGGAAGGAGCAGAACCAGCCACCUUGGUUUGUGCUGUUUGACACUUCUUGGCUUUCCCAGAGGAGCAGCAUCCCAAUGAUUUCCACUGUGGUUGUGUCUCCAGGAGCAGAUUUGAGGAAAUCUCCCCUGGUUGAAUGGGCAGGGACAGGAACAGUGGGAGAACCAGUGUUGGCAGAGCAGUGGAGCUUGAAACCAUCCAACUGGAUAAUCCUCUGGGAUUAUUCUUUGUGCCUCUCUCAGUAAAAACGAGGGCAAAGCAACCCAAGCCAACCCUGAUGUGGUUUUACUUCCCUCUGCUGCUUUGCUGGGUCCCUUUCACACCAAACACAGAACCAGGGACACUCAAACCUCACUGGGAUCUCAAGGUUCCUUCUCACCUCAUGCAAACAGAAUUUGCUGCUGAAUUUUGGGAGAGAAUCAGGCUUUCAUCCUGGCUGAGCAGCCAUUUAUAAAGACAAUCCCCAAUUCUAUUGAUUAUUUCCCCUCUGGCAUAGCCUUGCUUGAUGCUGAAAGCACAGCCAGUUGUUAACCUACUUUUUCAGGGUGAUGUGUCCUCCAGCAUGGAAAGACCCAGGGGGUGUUUGGUUUUUUUUUUUCUCUUUGCAGUCAGAGAGGUUUUUUAUUUUUCAGCUCUGAAACAGGGGGCUGAGGGAGGGAUGAGAUGUGAGAUAAGAAAGAGCUGAAGGCAGCAGGUCACUCACUCAAGAUGCCAAAUCCCAGCUUUUCUGUUCAUCUGCUGUUUCUGGCUUAAUGACAUUUUCAAUACUUUAAUAUUUCAAUACUUUAAAUAUUCAGAAACGGCUCCAUUUGCAGUUACACCUGAAAACAGCUCUAGAAACUCCUUGGGAGGCAGGGAGAACUUUUCAUCCCUGGAUGUUUUACUUCCAGUUAGCCUGGGGAAUUUUUGUUAAAUGGCAAAGAGACCUGACUAAUAGGGAAUCACCAAAUAUUGGGAAGGAAUUCCUCCCUGUGAGGGUGGGGAGCCCCUGGCACAGGUUGGGCAGAGAAUCUGUGGCUGCCCCAUCCCAAGAGGCUGGAAUCAAAUGGGGAAAAAACCAUCUUGAAAGGGAUUUUAGGGCAAAUUACAAAAUGCAAAAGGCUUCCAGAAUGCAGAAUAUUGUUAUAAAUUUAUCUUGUAAGGCAGAAACCGAGAAGAAAAUCUGGCACAUGGGGCUUUGACCCCAGAAAUUACAUUUCCAGGAGGCAGGUAAUGAUUAGACCUGUGCUUGGGCUGGUUCUUUUUUCAUCUGCCUGGCUUUUCUAAUUGAUAAUUUUAAUUUUAAUACUCUGUUGAAGGUGGAUCAGAGCAACAGGAUCAGCAAAGAGCUGCUCAGGAAGAAGGAACAGCACGGAUGGAGCCCUUGGAAGGUCACAGAGAACAUUCAGCACCUUCCACAAGGAACUGGCCCCCAAAGCAGCAUUUUAACCCCCAGAAUGGGCAAUUUCCAAGCACAGCAAAGAAAAGCACGAUGUGGGAAAUGGACUCCCUUGAAACAGAGUUGCCUUCGGGGCAGUUUGUGCUCAUUACAACACGCUGGAACAAAAUAAAUAUUAUUUGAUUGUAAAA
This is a long non-coding RNA of Pseudopipra pipra, 1710 nucleotides long. RefSeq lists it as uncharacterized. The record is from RefSeq and is a predicted model, not a curated record. The transcript is spliced from 3 exons. Lineage: Eukaryota; Metazoa; Chordata; Aves; Passeriformes; Pipridae.